Molecule: long non-coding RNA, 1722 nt
Filed under: Nicotiana tabacum (common tobacco)
Lineage: Eukaryota; Viridiplantae; Streptophyta; Magnoliopsida; Solanales; Solanaceae
Description: long non-coding RNA (NTAB_LNC019289)
Source: RNAcentral
UUAAAUGGGCAAAAGCCCAUUGUACACUGACGGAUAACAAAGAAAGAAAACGUAAAGAAAGGCAAAUACAUCAGAAGUUUAAAAAAAACGAAAGAAACAAAGAAAGAAAGAAAACGGGUCUGCUUCAGAGAACGCACAAAAGGGAUUUCAAAAGGAGGAGAAGAAGAAGAAAAAGGUUGGAACCAAACCUUGAGAAAUCUUAAAUGCGCACUGGAUUUUAUGGGUAAUACUCAAAUUCUCAUCUGGGUUCUUUUCUUCUAGUAAUUUUUUUUAUCCCGGUUCAUAUAUUUGAAGGGUUUCACAAGGUAUAAGAAAUUAAAUACCAAUAAGAGUUAUUCUGGGAAAAUUUAGAGUCAAACAUGAAACCUCGAGGGUUGGGUAUUCUAAAUUAGCUAUGAAUUAGCCUAAACAAGGAAAUUAACAUGAGAUUGAUAUUAUGUAAUUAUAGAUUGAUUGGAGGAAUUUGUACGAAUUGCUCGAGGUGAAGCAUUUGGUAUUUCGGCACUAGUACUGUGAGUAGUAAUCUUACCGCAAUUUGUAUUUUCAUAACUUGCAUGAUUUACACAUGAUUUUUAAUAUGAACAUGUUACCGAUUAUUUUGAGUUGCAUGUGGGACAAGUCUUUUACUCGAUAUGAUACCGAAAUAGUUAUUUGAGAUGAAUACCGUAGUUUUAAAUAUUUUCAUUGUUACUAGAUCUGUUUUACCGUUACUUGAAUUUACUGUUAUCGAAAGGAAAUUAUAUGAUUUGAUAAGAACCGAAAUGCCCUAUAUUGUUUUAAAAUAGUUUCUACGAGUAUAUACGGAUUACAGAGACAAGUAUAAAUGGGAGUAUACAUUGAAGGAUUCCGUAGCUAACGGCGGGUUCGUUAGACCUAGUGCACCUUGUAAUUACCGAUUACCGUUAAAGCCCUCGCUAGUGGGAAGGUAGAACUAGCAUACCGUUAUGAGACUUCUUGCAAAGAAGUCCAUAGUUAUACCGAUUACAUGAUCCGUUCAUUGAAACCUCCAAAAAUAUGAAUACUGAUAUUAUAUCGUGGUUACCGAGCUUAUUACUGAAUUAUUAGUUAUAUUUUACUACCAGAAAAGCGUGAUGAGACUGAAAAUUAUUUAUUAUUUCUGAAAGGGCAUUUUUAUGUUAUUUUCUCUUUGAGAUACUAGCAUGUUUCUGACUUGUCCCCAAAUAAAAACGGUUGUGGUUAAGUGUUAUUACUCACUGAGCUAGCGACUCAUUCUCCGUAAAUUUUUUUUACAGAGACAGCAGUUGAUGCAGGCGAGGAUUUCGUUAAUUAGAGCGCACAGGUUGAGAAUUCUUGGUGAGCCUCGCACUUGUUCGCGUGGGCGGAGAUUUUUAUCAAUUGUUAUGGUUUUUUCUUUGAAUUCUUAGAGUUGCUCCAUAGUCAUUCUUUUAGUGUCAUGAGUAUUAUUUUGCUAUUAGUCUUAUGCCGAGUAUCGUUCGUUAUUAUCAAGAUCGGAGAUAAAUUAGUAUUUCAGGUUGUUAGUGUGUUGAUUAGCAAUGGUGAAGACUAUUUUGGUUAAUUAAUAAGUUGUCGAUUGUUGGAUUGCUAUUAGGGUGUUUGGUUGCUGAUUUGAGACAGGAAUUUUUUUUUUUGGAUGGUCCAAAAUCAGGGGAAAUUCUGUCCGAUUUUCUGUAAAAUUACCGAUGAGGCUUACUUGGGAGCACUUGCUCCUAAGCGCCGGUCAAAAUCCUAAAUGGAGUCGUG